This 433-nucleotide ribosomal RNA is filed under the name uncultured bacterium. RNAcentral's name for it is "partial 16S ribosomal RNA". It matches the Rfam family "Bacterial small subunit ribosomal RNA", at positions 29 to 507 of the family's 1533-position model. The record is from RNAcentral.
AACGAACGCUGGCGGCAUGCCUAACACAUGCAAGUCGAACGAGACCUUCGGGUCUAGUGGCGCACGGGUGCGUAACGCGUGGGAAUCUGCCCUUAGGUUCGGAAUAACUCCCCGAAAGGGGUGCUAAUACCGGAUAAUGUCUUCGGACCAAAGAUUUAUCGCCCUUGGAUGGGCCCGCGUUGGAUUAGCUAGUUGGUAGGGUAAAAGCCUACCAAGGCGACGAUCCAUAGCUGGUCUGAGAGGAUGAUCAGCCACACUGGGACUGAGACACGGCCCAGACUCCUACGGGAGGCAGCAGUGGGGAAUAUUGGACAGUGGGCGGAAGCAUGAUCCAGCAAUGCCGCGUGAGUGAUGAAGGCCUUAGGGUUGUAAAGCUCUUUUACCCGGGAUGAUAAUGACAGUACCGGAAGAAUAAGCUCCGGCUAACUCCGUG